This 345-nucleotide long non-coding RNA is filed under the name Brassica napus (rape). RNAcentral's name for it is "long non-coding RNA (BNAP_LNC006458)". Lineage: Eukaryota; Viridiplantae; Streptophyta; Magnoliopsida; Brassicales; Brassicaceae. The record is from RNAcentral.
AUAAAAUAUUUGAGAGCGAAAGGCAUUUAAGAAUUCAAUAUGACUGUUUUUUUUGUUUGCUAAAAAGAGAUUUUAUGACUGUUAUCUGGCUGACAUAUAUUAUCGCUAAAUUCGCUCGAUAAUUUGUAUAUAUUUUAAUUGUUCUUUCGUGAAUUGCAUAUCAAAACUCAAACGUCGAUAUCCAGUGACCCUUAUUCUCCAUUCAAACCGUACCACUAGACUAACUAAAGUUAUCUAUGUAUAUCAAUGUUUGUAACGAAUAACGAAAUUAAAAUCUCGAGAUAUUGUUUCGAUACUUAUCUCCACUAACAAAACAAGACAGACAAUUUCAGAGAAGAUGCGCAC